UUGGAUAGCGGACAUCUCGUUUCGCCAAAGGACGUCUUCUCGAGCGGAGGAGGGACUGCUUUCUCGCUCCGCUGGCGAGCCCGCUCACCACACCCUAGCCAGCGAGGUGAGGGGCGUUCUGGUGCGUCUGGGUUGUUUUCGGCCGCCGCGUUCCCGCGCUUGCUCUUCCCUUCACGCCCUUGCCCUCUUCCCUUCGUGUGCUUGGUCCCGUCACCUCCGUGCCACGUGCUUGUUCUCCUCUUCCGCCGCGUGGAGCAGGAGUCGGGCGGCAGCUGUAGUACCUAAGUUCGAGAGGCACGUUCCAUACUGCGAUGAGGAAGGGGACGGAGGAGAACACGACUACCGGUCUACCUAAACUAAGUCUAACCAAGUCAUUUAAUCCGAUCCCAAACUACCUAAGACCACUAAACAAGGUUCUUGUUCUAGCUAAGGGGAUAGGACACUAAAUCUAAGUUAGUUAAACCAAUUCCACCUGUACGAACAUCUUUAGGGGUAGAUAAAGAAGAAUAAUUAGGGACUCUCUUUGCACAUCUAGGCACGAUAAUGAGACGUGAGACGUCAACGCCCAUCUUUUAGUAUAACGAAUCAUGCACACGUCUUCUUGUAUGUCUCCUUUAAUAUAUUUGUUCCACGGCCAAACGACAUCCGUCGGUACAGGCACCUAACCCUGAUAAAUAUACACUAAGUAAAACCGUAUAUUUUCAUGAUGUUUCGUCCCUACAACUCUGUCACGAGACUUCAGACUUGAACUUGAAUGUUAAAUCUGUAAUCGUACAAUGGUAGAAAAAAAAGAACAAACUCCUUACUGACAACCUUAAGUCUUGAUCUUGUGAACUUAUGAGGACGUCAAAAAAUUUGACAUUAACGUGAUGUCGUCCUAUGAACAUAAUAACAGCCAACGAGGUACGAUUAUAAAUUGUCCUUUUGGUGACGAGUAAACAAUUUAGACUGGCUACGAUUAUAAACUUAAUUCUGUUUUCAACUUACGAAGCUGUAUAAAACCUACAUCCGUGCAAAUUCAUAAACUUAUCUAAUACGAUAGACUUGUACAGUGUUAACUCAAGGCUACUCAAGCUUCUACUGCGGCUACUGGGUUGUCUUUAAAAGAGAGAUCUUCUAAUGAACCGUGUUGUCUUAUGAGAGUUGUUGAAACGAUGUGUUUAUCGGUGUUUGUAAGUACUACGUGAUCCUCAAGGUUCAUGAUCCACAGCCAGUCGGGGAUCCUGUAUAUAACAGUCCUUCUCUCUUAAAAUGUCACUUGAAGAGUAUCGUCUAAUGAAGACACUAUUAGGAUGGAUAGGACUAAUGAUGAAGGCAUCUUCCAAGGCGUACCCUUUUGGGGAAAAAGAUGCGUAACAAGUUCGAGAACCACUCACCAGAGGGAUGAAGUGAGUUUCCCAUCUACGGGACCCGGCAGGUCCAGAUAGUGGAAAUAUCUUCACGUGUAGUCGGUACGUAUACAACCGCAUAUCACAAGGACGACUUUUUUGUCUACUGGUACAUUCUGAACCACGUAGAUGCUGUGAGCUCACAGAACUCUUAAAAAGAGUCCCCCAGUAACGAUUCAAACCACCUCUUAUAAACGUUUCCGGUUGACAACUUCAGUAAGUUGCAGAUGAUCUUUAACCACUUCGUGCACCAAAAGGACAUGGUUUCGGCGUUACCCGUGGUCAAGGACAUACACGUAACCACCCUUCGACACUUUCUGUCGGUUUUCACCUUCUAAGUACAUAUGUGUCUUCCUCUACCUUGUUUCUCCAGUAGUGGUUAUGGUUGACUCUUACGAGUCGCAGGGGGUCCUUGUUUCUCCCGCUUCUUUCGAUGUCCUUUUCUAUUCCUUCGGGGAUGAAUCUACUUAUUGUACUUUCUUGUCUAACUCCGGAAAGAUGUUCCUGUUCGACUACGAUUCCUCGCUUGACGACACUACUACCUUAACGUCUCAACUGACAGACGAGUCUUCCAUCUUCGAUUAGCUGAACGUAUACUCCGUCGUUACCUCUCCUGUCACCGGUUCAAUCGUCUCCUUUCUUGGUUCAACAAACUGCUCAAGUGUCUAUACAACUCACGACUGUGUUAUUCUUACCUCGGUACCCGUUUCCUCUACGUAUACUUCCGACAGUGUUCUAACCCCCUAGUUGAAAAGUCCCUCCUUAUCUUCUACAAGAUGUAUAUACAGGUUGUUUUCGCCUAAAGUACACGGUAUUUCGCAUCUUCUACACUCUGAAAAAAAACCUUACUCUUCUUAGUUUCCUAUGUCGUUGUUUAAGUCAGACUUUAAAUUAAACACACAAAUGUUUAGAUAGAAAGGAAAUACUCAUAAACUUUUGGAAUUCUAAUAAGACAAUGAUACCCUAAAACAUCACAGUACCUGUUGUGUAUGAGCAACUGUGACAAACGUAUAGUUCCAACGACAAAAAACAAACCUUUAGUUCAACAAACUAUUGAAAGUCACACAUACGAACAACUAUAUCUCAUACGAACAACUAUAGCAACUAAGUUUACCUACGAUCAUAACAAAUUUACAUCACCUCCAAAGUACAUAACCUUUCCUCCACUC
RNAcentral lists this ribosomal RNA (2557 nucleotides) under Triticum aestivum (bread wheat). Its description in RNAcentral is "partial small subunit ribosomal RNA". The record is from RNAcentral. Lineage: Eukaryota; Viridiplantae; Streptophyta; Magnoliopsida; Poales; Poaceae.